UAAUCUCCAGACAUGACACAGAAUAUGAUCUGAUGUUGAACAGGUCUGUUUACAUUUUGUCAUUUUAUUGCUGCUUCAUUAACAGAAAUAAAAUAGUAAUUUAAUUAUUGUGACAAAAUCCAUUAAGGAAAAAAAGUAAUGUUUUUAUUAUCAGUGAUGUCAGAAUAUUUAAGCUUAUAAAAAAUAUUAUUUGAAAGCUUGAUUAACUUGAAGCUGGAAAGGGGCAUCACAUGAGCAUAAGAUCAGGACCAUGAACCAUGCAGGGACUUGGUGAUGUGGAAUUUUCUCAGCUGAGAUUUACAUUAAAACGUACAAUGAUCAAUUUUAUUUAAUAUUAAUUUCAUUUAGCAUGGCAGAAAACAUGUCUCCCAUCAAAAUUAUUUUCAUCAAUAUUAUAUAUAUAUUUUUUCCGUCAUCAGUGUAAUAAAAUUGAUACCAUAUAAAUAUAUUACAUUUGGAUUGAAGUCACAUUUGUUCCCAUCACACAGGCAAGUAGAAAAAAAAAUUCUCAACCCGAAUAUGACCAUGACCUCCAGAAUCUGGCUCCUGUAUCUGAGCUCUCAGGAUCUUAUCAUAUCCUCAUUUCAUACAUAAAAUUAAACACAACAAAAUCAAACACAACCCCAGAAGAUACCAAAAGUACAUGUACCUUGAUUCUUUACCACCUGACCUGCUGGAGCUCCAUCUUUCAUCACCUGAGUGACUGAAAUCCCCACAGCACCCUCUAGUGUGAGGUGAUUAUACUGCACAACCCUGAGCAUGAAAAGGUCUUGCAUCUGACUGAAAAAUAGGAAUGAGAAAGAACUUCUUUAAUGUGUAAAACAAACCCAAACCAUCAUGCUUCCACCAUCAUGCUUUACAGUUGGGUUAAUGGAUUAUUCUGGUGCCUGAAGGUCACCUUUGGAGUUUUUUUUUUUUUAUCUCUGGGUAUUAAAUGAUCUGACCCUGGACUGUUUAUGCUGAAACGCUUUUUAAAAUUCCAAUCCACAAACCUUCUUAAUGUAAUAUGAUAAAUUUCAGCUAGUGUGGAGACGGCCUUAUAACCCCUUUCCUGAUCAAUCUCUUCAGAUCACUUCUCUGAGGUUGUGGUUGGUUUCAUGUUUUCUUGGUAUAAUGUAGAAACAUUAUGAGUGUUUCAGAAAACAAACUGGCAGAGUCUGCUUUUAUAGACAUACUUACACUUUCUGAUCAUAAACAAACCUUCUUUAACCACACAGUUUAUUUCUCUUACACUGUUUGUAAAAGUAAUGUGGAUUUAUUUUGAAGUGUGGAUUGAGAUCUGGUGUGUUAUUUGUUUUUUUUAGACAUUGGGGCACAUAAUUGUUAUUUAGGUGCUGAUGAGCAUAGAUUCCCCAUGACUUAAUGUAAUGAAAUGCUUGUUUUCUUUUUUGUAAAAUUCCAUUUCUUUUUUCUUUUGGAUUAUGAUUUCUGGAUUUCUGGGAAACUGCUUUGGUACACAAACACUAUCAGAAAACCUUAUAUAAAGAUCCAGGGAGAACAAAUUUUCUAUUUAUAUAUUUAUUUGUUUAUUUGUUUGUUUGUUUGUUUUAUACAGUGUACAAAUGUAAAAAUAAUAUUUUCACUGAAUAGUGAAUCUAAAUAUAUUUUUCUGUAACUGUGUUGAGAAUAAAUAUAAUUCUGUAUGAGAUCAGAAAAGUUUAUUUAUUGUUUUUUUUUUUGUUCUUUUGUAUUUAAAGACUUGCAGGUGAGAGGAAACUCUGCCUGCUGCCUGUUUACAACAUUGUGAAAGAUCUGACUGUACAUGUGUAUGAUUGUGUUGCAUGUUGCCUGUUUUUGCCGUUUCAUUACUUUAAUUUAUCAUGUAGUGUGUUUGUAUUAUAUUCAGUCUGUAUGUAACUGCAGAGAUUCAAACUUUACUACAGUAUUAAUCUCAGCUAUUAAUAUAUUGUGUGUUGGACAAAAUAAAAAAUAAUAAAAUCCA
Silurus meridionalis is the source of this 1942-nucleotide long non-coding RNA. RefSeq lists it as uncharacterized. The transcript has 2 exons. NCBI's taxonomy places the organism in Eukaryota, Metazoa, Chordata, Actinopteri, Siluriformes, Siluridae. The record is from RefSeq and is a predicted model, not a curated record.